This 2040-nucleotide long non-coding RNA is filed under the name Panax ginseng (ginseng). RNAcentral describes it as "long non-coding RNA (PGIN_LNC008312)". Lineage: Eukaryota; Viridiplantae; Streptophyta; Magnoliopsida; Apiales; Araliaceae. The record is from RNAcentral.
AAAUUGAUUUACGGCUACAAAAUAGCAUUGUAUGGAACAGGAGACAUUAGAAUUGAAAGUACAAAUUACAUAAUCCUAUAAAACAGCAUAUACUGAAAAGAAUAAUCACUGAUUUCUAUUAUGUUAUAAAUGCAACUUAUAUUACAAGAAAGUCAUGGCAGAUAAUGAAAAGCAAUCUUUUGAACAAAUCAACUACACCUUCUGUUUUCCCAUUCUAGUAAAGGGCACCUUAACGGGACUGACAGUUAAAGUGCCCAAAUCGAUUCUGACAACAUUAAAUUAUAAAAACAGUAGUAAUUGCAAUAGUAACUGCACUACAACAAUAACGAUCACCAUAUCAGUAAUUUAGUUUAUUGGAAAUAAUGAUUCAUCUGGUAUUGUUUUGGUACAAAGUUCGUCUGGUAUGUAGUACAUGACACUUAACACAAUUAAACAUGACAAAAUUUAUCAGUUUAUAGCAGUCCUAAAACAUAGAAGUGCACAAAUACUUCUUCUUUUUUGUCGGUCACAAAUCCUUCUUUAGUAAACAUUGACGAAACAAUGGGCUUAAUAUUCAAACUUUAUUUUAUUUAAUCUCCUUCUAAGAAAACAAACUCAUUUUCUUGCGGCUCGUUUUUUAAAGUCACAUGUCAUCACAUUCUUAAAACCAAAAUUUUCAAACAGAAAUACAUACAAAAUAUUACAAAGGUGAUGAUCCAUCUUUUUUCACAAGUUACCAUCUAACGAUCAAGCAUCAUCGAGGUGUCAUGACUUAACCACGAAGUACACUAAGUAAUCUCUUCAGGCAUGUAUGUCCAUUUCAAUGUGAUAAGCACAUGCAAAUUUUCAUCUCCUCCAUAAUAUUCUUUCAACCACCUUAACACAUUAAUGAACUCAUAAAGCAAUGUUUUUACCAAUUCAACCAACAAAAACAAAGGUAAAUAUUUCAACCUGAAACUUGAAAAGGCUAAAAUAACUUGUACCUUUUUUCCAACCCGAUAGAACCCGGGUCGAUUGAGCUUCCAUUUCAGCUGGUGGGAUAUUCCCCACAUCCACCUCCACAUCCAUCCAAUCUAAAUUCUUAACCUUUUCAAAUCUAAACUAGCCCUUAAAAUACCUUCUGCAGCAAGUACAACCAAACAACAAUUCAACACAUAAAAUAGAACCUAAAUUAACAAACACAUUCUACCAAUUUCACAUAUUUGAAUAUAAAUUUCCUAUAAUGAAUUACAAUUAAAAAAAAAAAGAGACUACAAUAACACUCAAAACCAAACCCUUAGUCCAAUUGACAAUAAAAACAAAUCCCCCCUAAAUUAACAAACACAUUCAACCAAUUUCACAUAUUUGAAUAUAAAUUUACUAUCAUGAAUUACGAUUAAAAAAGAGAGACUACAAUAACACUCAAAACCAAACCCUUAGUCCAAUUGACAAUCAAAACAAAUCCCACCUAAAUUAACAAACACAUUCAACCAAUUUCACAUAUUUGAAUAUAAAUUUACUAUCAUGAAUCACAAUUUUAAAAAAAGACUACAAUAACACUCUCAAACCCAAACCCUUAGUCCAAUUGACAAUCAAAACAAAUCCCACCUCCAAAAAUUGGAACUAUAAGGCGAUUUCAAGAAUAAGAGUACAUAAUUAAUUACUGGAAACAAACAGUGCAAAUGAAAAUCAAAUUCGAAUUUUGGAAUCAUAAGUAGGAAGAAUACUUAGAUAAUUAAACUUCACAAGCUAAUAAAAAAAAUACGAAGAAUACUUGUCCGGAUUGAAGAGAAAGAAUCAAAUGGUGGAGUGUUUGUAAACCUUUUCUUCAAAUAGACGGAAAGGGGAAAUUUUCGAAGGUGAACAUGGCUCAAGAUAAACUCUCUUAUGCUAAUUUGCGCUGAAAUGUAUAAGCAGAUCAAUUGUACGGAGGUUCUAAGAGGAAAGAGAGGGAUUAAUUGGAGAUGUUGAGCACAGAAGGAGUUUAAUCGGAUAGAGAGUGAAAGAGUUUUGGGGUGGGAGUUGUAGGAGAGUAGAGGCUUUGCAGCAGAAGGGGGGGAAAGAAUUAAGUUUUUUAAAGAC